GACUGGCUUCAGGAAACAAAUGAAAUUAAUUGAUAUUCUUAAAAAGCAGAAGAUGCAUAUCGAAGCUUCAAAAAUGUUAACUUUUACAGAAGAAGAGUUUGUAAAAGCAAUGGAAUGGGAGACAUAAGUAGUUGCAAGAAAUCAUAUUUAGAGAACAUAAAAGCGAAAGAAAGAAAGAAAGAAAGGAAGGAAGGAAGAAAAAGAAAGGAAAAAAAGAAAGAAAAAAACCUCAUGUCAUUAUGUCAUUAUACCAUUAUGCUGUCAUACUAUUGUGCUAGUUUACCAUUUUCCAUUAAACCAUUAUGGAACCAUGGCGUUAUAGCAAAAAGAGCCUGAACUAUGGGGUGGGAUUCUGUCUAGGAUCUAUUUUUUUAUAGAAAAUAUAAAAGUGAGAUGAAUGUGAGAA
Molecule: long non-coding RNA, 406 nt
Organism: Octopus bimaculoides (California two-spot octopus)
Lineage: Eukaryota; Metazoa; Mollusca; Cephalopoda; Octopoda; Octopodidae
Source: RefSeq, a predicted model, not a curated record